GACUAACCGUACGAACGUUAUUCGGAAUCACUGGGCUUAAAGGGUGCGUAGGCGGCGCUGAAAGUUGGGUGUGAAAUCCCUCGGCUCAACCGAGGAACUGCGCCCAAAACUACAGUGCUCGAGGGAGAUAGAGGUGAGCGCAACUUAGGGUGGAGCGGUGAAAUGAGUUGAUAUCCUAAGGAACGCCAGGGGCGAAAGCGGCUCACUGGAUAUCUUAUGACGCUGAGCAACGAAAUCUAGGGUCGCGAAUGGG
RNAcentral lists this ribosomal RNA (253 nucleotides) under uncultured bacterium. RNAcentral describes it as "partial 16S ribosomal RNA". It matches the Rfam family "Bacterial small subunit ribosomal RNA", at positions 524 to 776 of the family's 1533-position model. The record is from RNAcentral.